This 76-nucleotide transfer RNA is filed under the name Acidobacteriota bacterium. Its description in RNAcentral is "tRNA-Thr". It matches the Rfam family "tRNA". From Rfam's summary of the family: Transfer RNA (tRNA) molecules are approximately 80 nucleotides in length. Their secondary structure includes four short double-helical elements and three loops (D, anti-codon, and T loops). Further hydrogen bonds mediate the characteristic L-shaped molecular structure. tRNAs have two regions of fundamental functional importance: the anti-codon, which is responsible for specific mRNA codon recognition, and the 3' end, to which the tRNAs corresponding amino acid is attached (by aminoacyl-tRNA synthetases). tRNAs cope with the degeneracy of the genetic code in two manners: having more than one tRNA (with a specific anti-codon) for a particular amino acid; and 'wobble' base-pairing, i.e. permitting non-standard base-pairing at the 3rd anti-codon position. Lineage: Bacteria; Pseudomonadati; Acidobacteriota. RNAcentral also lists the same sequence under 2 other names. The record is from RNAcentral.
GCCGGCGUAGCUCAGCUGGUAGAGCGCCUGACUUGUAAUCAGGGGGUCGCAGGUUCGAUUCCUGUCGCCGGCUCCA